GUUCUUCAUAUUGUACUUCUUCUGAAUUGUGUUAGAGCUGUAUCUGUGAGAUUUCUGAUUUCACGAUAGAAAACAUUGCAAGGAUUGGAGUUUUCCCAAUAUGGUAUCCUGACUCAGCAGGACUUUUUUCCCCUUGCUGAGAGACAGUUGGUUUCGCCGCCAAAGCUGGCUAUUUUGGUAGCACACUUCCCAGAUUUGAAUGGGAGCUACUUUGAAUGACUCAAGAUGACUCUUGGAUGACUGAGAAGAGGACCUAAAAGAUAGCACUUCUCAGUGGGGAGCAGUCAGAGGGUGCUUAAAUUGAGCUUUGCAUUCUGGAAUAUCCACCCAAAAAUGACACAAGAUAGGACAUCAGCAUUAUCCCUUGAUUUGCCAAGGGCAGAGAU
Molecule: long non-coding RNA, 386 nt
Organism: Pantherophis guttatus
Lineage: Eukaryota; Metazoa; Chordata; Lepidosauria; Squamata; Colubridae
Source: RefSeq, a predicted model, not a curated record